UUCGCUUUCAUCCUGCUCGGGUUAGCUGAUGAUUGAAUAGGGGCAGCUGUAACACCCCAAAAUUUGCCCUCCUCAUUCAUGCAUUCAUUUAGCAUUUCAUAUUGCAUUUCAUCAUGUAAAUCAGAAUUAGAUCCAAAAAAUAAAAAAUAAAAAAUAAAUAAAUAAAUAAAAUAUAAUAGAAAAAACUUGGACUUGUACCUCUCUCAUUUGAGCCCACAAAGCCAUGAAAAUCAGGUUAUAAAAGAGGGAGAUCAGACAGAAAAAGGAAGAAAAGCAAAAUACUCUGAGGUUUCCUUGAAACAAAACCCUGGACAAAAUCUGGAGAGGAACCUGACAGAGAACUUAGAGCAACCCCCAUCUCACGCAAACCCUAACAUUUCAACCG
Molecule: long non-coding RNA, 385 nt
Filed under: Lathyrus oleraceus (garden pea)
Lineage: Eukaryota; Viridiplantae; Streptophyta; Magnoliopsida; Fabales; Fabaceae
Description: Pisum sativum (pea) long non-coding RNA (PSAT_LNC027255)
Source: RNAcentral